GAUUCUUGAAGUGCCAAAUGAAGAGGAAGUCUUUCUUCUUUUUGAAUUGUUUGGAUUCUGUCUCAUGAGAGGAAAAGAGGUGCACUAUGUAAUAGUCAGCAGUAUCCAGGAUCUGGCAAAAGUUUUCUCAAGCUACAAAGAUGAAGUAUUGAAUAUAGAAAGAGGAGGCAGUAAAUUCGUGUGGCCAAGACUAGCGAAGUUGGUGAAAUAGAGGAGGUAACAUCUUUGCAUGAUGUUAAGUUAUAACCAAAUUGUUUUUGCAUUAGUUAUAGUUGAAGAGUAUAUGCAAAAUAUAGGAUUCUGGGAUUGCUUGGCCUAAAGGUUUGGGGUUCAUAUGUUUGUGUUUUCAGGAAUUAGUGGCUGAGAUUUCUACACUGA
This is a non-coding RNA of Solanum lycopersicum (tomato), 378 nucleotides long. NCBI's taxonomy places the organism in Eukaryota, Viridiplantae, Streptophyta, Magnoliopsida, Solanales, Solanaceae. The record is from RefSeq and is a predicted model, not a curated record.